AAUUUUGACGCGAAAAUAUGGAGAAAGGCCAAGGGCAAAAUUGGAAUGUUGGAAAUUAGUUUCGGGAAUUUUCAAAAAAUAAACCAAAGGAAUUUGGGCUAAAAAACAAAUAGAAAAAAAUGGCCCAAAGAACAUAGGUGUCCGUCCAUGGUCUUGCAAAAAUUAGCCCAAGCCCAUGAGUAAUGAAUCCAUGAGAUAAAUAAUAAAAAGGGGGCCAAAGUCUUCAUUUUUCAAGAACCUUCAAGAACCAAAAAAAAAAAAAAAGAGAGAGCAAGAACAAGAGUAUAGGGGGUUUCGGCCCCCCCUUCCCUUCAAAAAAAAAUUUCCAAGUCUUUAGACUUUAAUCCAAAAAUCCCUUCCUUCUUGAAUUCUUGAUAAGUUUAAGGCUCUCUACAACGUGGUAUAAUUAGUUUGGCAAGAAAGCUCCGUUUGCGGAAAGUGGAAAAUUGAAGCAAAAGGUUUUGGACGAAACGGGGUUUGAAGUUUGGUGAGCGUAAAAGGCAAGAAAGGUACAGACGAUCGAGUUGGUGAUCCGCCAACGUAGGACAUCUCUCCAGCAGUUGAAGUGCUCCUUUGUUCAGGAGCCAUAUUUUGGGUACAUAUUCUACCGUUGUGCAUAUGUAUAUUCGUUCAGGGGUACGGCGGGGCCCUGUCCCGUCAUAUGAUUUUGUUAUGUUCAUUAGAGGCCUGUAGACAUAUUGUGGGUCAUGGGUCAUGUUUGUUUGGUUUGGUCUGAAAUCUGUGCCUUAAGCGGCCCGGUUACUAUAAUGGUCUAAGUGGCCUAUAUGUUUGCAUAUGUUUGUACGUUCAGGCGAUGCACAUUCCGCCUGCCUACGGGUUUCGGCAUGAUGUGUUUGAUAUGUCUGAUAUACGUGGCCGCUUAAGACGGCGUUUUCCUCUGUAUCUAUAUGAACUAACUUACGCUAAAAUAUGAUUGU
Lycium barbarum (goji berry) is the source of this 938-nucleotide long non-coding RNA. RefSeq lists it as uncharacterized. The transcript is spliced from 3 exons. The record is from RefSeq and is a predicted model, not a curated record. NCBI's taxonomy places the organism in Eukaryota, Viridiplantae, Streptophyta, Magnoliopsida, Solanales, Solanaceae.